AAAGAGAUUGAGGGCCUUUUAACUGGUAGUUGGAACACAGGAAGAGUUUGUUUAUUGAAUGUUUUACCCAUUUUGGAUUGAGUUAGAGCCUGAGGAUAAUCCUGUGAAUUGUAUCUUGCUGUUUUGCCCCGGCUGACCUUGAACUGGCUCAAGGAAACCUGCCUCAGCCUCCUGAAUAGCUGGGAUUAUAGUAUGCUGCGAUGGAAACCAACGUGUCUGGAGCUAAAACUUGAUGACAUUGAAGAGUUUGAGAAUAUUCGCAAGGACCUAGAGACCCGCAAGAAACAGAAAGAAGAUGUGGAUGUUGUAGGAGGCAAUGAUGGAGAAGGAGCCAUUGGGCUUGGCAGUGACCCUAAGAGCCGGGAACAAAUGAUUAAUGAUCGGAUUGGUUAUAAACCCCAACCCAAGCCAAACAAUCGCUCAUCUCAAUUUGGAAAUUUUGAAUUUUAAAGAUGGAUUCCAUUGCAUGACAGAGCCCUGGAAUGGAAUAAAAUGAUGGCAA
RNA transcript from Octodon degus (degu), 502 nucleotides. It is a transcript of the gene named anaphase-promoting complex subunit CDC26 pseudogene, with no coding region annotated. The record is from RefSeq and is a predicted model, not a curated record. The transcript has a single exon. NCBI's taxonomy places the organism in Eukaryota, Metazoa, Chordata, Mammalia, Rodentia, Octodontidae.